GAUUAACGUUGGCGGCGUGCAUAACACAUGCAAGUUGAGCGUGGCUUUAGUUUACUAAAGUCUAGCAGCGGACGGCUGAGUAAUGCACAGGAACGUACCUCGAAGUGGGUGAUAGCCCUUCGAAAGAAGGGGUAAUACCGCAUGUGCUCGCAAGAGUAAAGCAGUAAUGCGCUUUGAGAGCGGCCUGUGUCCUAUCAGGUUGUUGGUGGGGUAAUAGCCUACCAAGCCUAUGACGGGUAGUUGGUCUGAGAGGAUGACCAGCCAGAUCGGGACUGAGACACGGCCCGAACUCCUACGGGAGGCAGCAGUUGGGAAUUUUGCGCAAUGGACGAAAGUCUGACGCAGCGACGCCGCGU
RNAcentral lists this ribosomal RNA (356 nucleotides) under uncultured bacterium. RNAcentral describes it as "bacterial SSU rRNA". It matches the Rfam family "Bacterial small subunit ribosomal RNA", at positions 28 to 402 of the family's 1533-position model. The record is from RNAcentral.